RNAcentral lists this ribosomal RNA (831 nucleotides) under Desulfovibrio sp. AU746. Its description in RNAcentral is "bacterial SSU rRNA". It matches the Rfam family "Bacterial small subunit ribosomal RNA", at positions 56 to 882 of the family's 1533-position model. The record is from RNAcentral. Lineage: Bacteria; Pseudomonadati; Thermodesulfobacteriota; Desulfovibrionia; Desulfovibrionales; Desulfovibrionaceae.
UGCAGUCGAACGCGAAAGUUUCUUCGGAAAUGAGUAGAGUGGCGCACGGGUGAGUAACGCGUGGAUAAUCUACCUAUUGGUACGGGACAACAGUUGGAAACGACUGCUAAUACCGUAUAAGCUGGAAACGGGAAAGGGGGCCUCUUCUUGAAAGCUCUCGCCAGUAGAUGAGUCCGCGUUUCAUUAGCUAGACGGUGGGGUAACGGCCUACCGUGGCAACGAUGAAUAGCAGGCCUGAGAGGGUGGCCUGCCACACUGGGACUGGAACACGGCCCAGACUCCUACGGGAGGCAGCAGUGGGGAAUAUUGCGCAAUGGACGAAAGUCUGACGCAGCGACGCCGCGUGGAGGAUGAAGGUUUUCGGAUCGUAAACUCCUGUCAAGAGGGAAGAAACCUAUUAAGAAUAAUACUCUUAGUAAUUGACGGUACCUCUAGAGGAAGCACCGGCUAAUUCAGUGCCAGCAGCCGCGGUAAUACUGAAGGUGCAAGCGUUAAUCGGAAUCACUGGGCGUAAAGCGCUCGUAGGUGGCUUUGUAAGUCAGAUGUGAAAGCCCACGGCUCAACCGUGGAAUUGCAUUUGAUACUGCAUCGCUAGAGUAUAGGAGAGGGAAGUGGAAUUUCUGGUGUAGGAGUGAAAUCCGUAGAGAUCAGAAGGAACACCGGUGGCGAAGGCGACUUCCUGGACUAUUACUGACACUGAGGAGCGAAAGCGUGGGGAGCAAACAGGAUUAGAUACCCUGGUAGUCCACGCCGUAAACGAUGGGUACUAAGUGUCGGAGGCUUGACCUUCGGUGCUGUAGUUAACGCGUUAAGUACCCCGCCUGGGGAGUA